Molecule: non-coding RNA, 45 nt
Filed under: Schistosoma mattheei
Lineage: Eukaryota; Metazoa; Platyhelminthes; Trematoda; Strigeidida; Schistosomatidae
Source: RNAcentral
GUUCAGCUGAUGAGUUUCAAAUAGAAUGAAACGCGCGUCCUGGAU